This 272-nucleotide unclassified non-coding RNA is filed under the name fungal sp. RNAcentral describes it as "partial internal transcribed spacer region". The stretch from base 1 to 46 matches the Rfam family "Eukaryotic small subunit ribosomal RNA", at positions 1786 to 1831 of the family's 1831-position model. The record is from RNAcentral. Lineage: Eukaryota; Fungi.
AAGUCGUAACAAGGUUUCCGUAGGUGAACCUGCGGAAGGAUCAUUACCAAAUCCAAAAAAAAACUUUCUAUCAACACCCCAAUGUGAACUGAGAAUGGUUUCGUCCCUCCGAAUUCUUCUCUUCUUCGGAAGAAAGGGAGGAGGAGGGAUGUUCAAACACAUUUUUUUUUCAACCCCUUUUCAACCAUUAAAACCCCAUUUUUUUAAUGCUGAAAGCAAAACAAAAAAUACGAAACAUGAGACAACUUUUAACGGUGGAUCUCUUGGCUCGU